Long non-coding RNA from Polyodon spathula (Mississippi paddlefish), 475 nucleotides. RefSeq lists it as uncharacterized. The transcript has 2 exons. The record is from RefSeq and is a predicted model, not a curated record. NCBI's taxonomy places the organism in Eukaryota, Metazoa, Chordata, Actinopteri, Acipenseriformes, Polyodontidae.
AUUACAAUAAUUGUAAUCUCUUUCCCUGUUAUUACUCCCUCAUCUUGGGAUAUAUAGUCUAAUACUCAGUAAUAAUCCUCACUACAAUAUAUACAGUAUUUCAACAUUGUAACUGUUAAAGUUAAAGAUAUAGUGUGGUAUGAGACUGUAAAAGCUGUCCACCUUUUUUCUUUUUAUCAUUUUUGGGGUGGAUAAUCAAAACUUGAGUUUAAUAAAAAUGAUUACAGUGUUUCACUCCCCCCAACAGGCUAAUGCGUUUGUAAGAAAUGUUUUUGAGCUUGGACCCCCAAUGAUGGUUGAUGCGGCAACCCUAAAGGCAAUGAAAAUCUCCCGUUUUGAGAGGCACUUGUAUAAUGCUGCUGCCUUUAAAGCUCGGACUAAGGCCAGGAAUAAGUUUCGGGACAAAAGGGUGGACAUCGGAGAAUUCAUUUAAACAUCUAUAGGUUUCAGCACAUCAUUUUAACUCGCCUUAUUU